CUUAUCAUCUCCCACAGAUCAGGCGCUCCCCCACCUGUUGGAUCAUACCCUAUGGCUAGAUAUCUUCCUCAGGAGGAGACUCUUGCACAUUGGAAAACCGACACAUUAGAGUCAAGAUCUUCCUUGCAGAACUAGGAGGAGGUUUUUGUUCCAAGGGACCUGUCCUCAAAUGUGGGACUUGAUGAAAGAAACAGCAAAGAUUUCAAGACUCAGCUGGCAUCAGUAAAGAAGUAUCACGCUGGGAGAGAGAGCUGUCACCCUGAUGCACGGCAAUCUGCCCGCAGCUUCCUCUGGAUAGGGACGAGAAUUCCUGGGAAGCAGCAGAUAAAUGUGUUACAUCCAUUUUUACGCAGAGAAGCCCAACACUAGCUACUUCCAGACAGAGUUGGUCCAGUGCUGCGGUUAUCAUGUUAACUUUCCCAGCCUCCAUAU
This 432-nucleotide long non-coding RNA is filed under the name Struthio camelus australis. Its description in RNAcentral is "lncRNA (ENSSCUG00000003208.1)". Lineage: Eukaryota; Metazoa; Chordata; Aves; Struthioniformes; Struthionidae. The record is from RNAcentral.